CCGAGUUUACAACUCCCAAACCCCUGUGAACAUACCAUUUGUUGCCUCGGCGGUGCCUGCUUCGGCAGCCCGCCAGAGGACCCAAACCCUUGAUUUUAUACAGUAUCUUCUGAGUGAUACAAGCAAUAAAUUA
Molecule: unclassified non-coding RNA, 133 nt
Filed under: uncultured Ilyonectria
Lineage: Eukaryota; Fungi; Ascomycota; Sordariomycetes; Hypocreales; Nectriaceae
Description: sequence contains ITS1
Source: RNAcentral